GUCAAUGCUCGCAAGAGUGAACUAGCUAACUGAAAUCACAGGAUCCAUUAUGUGUGGUGAAUGUAAUAACGUAAGGGAAAAAAAUGAUAUUACCUUACUAUAAGUGUUGUCCAAAACUGGUGCCAGAAGACUCGGUAAGACCAGAGACGCAAACGUUAGUCGUCCUAAUCAGGCGUAAAGGGUAUGUAGGCUGCUUUAAAAGUUUUAUAUUUAAUAGCUAAUGUAAGAAAAUUUAAUAAAAUUUUUACAGAAAAAUAUAAAAUUAAUUAAAGCUAGGAUCAAAUGGAGGAUAAUAAAUAACACCUAGUGUAGGGUUUAAAUCUGAUGAUAUUAGGUGGAAUACUAAUGGUGAAAGCUUUUUAUCUAGAAAUGAUUGACGCUGAGAAACGAAGGUGAGAAUAGGAAAUAGGAUUAGAUACCCAGAUACCUCUCACAGUCAACGAUGAAUGGUGGUUGUUAGUUUGUUUUAUUAAACUGAUAACGAUGUUAACACGAUAACCAUUCCGCCUUGCGAGUACGGUUGCAAAACUGAAACCAAAAAAAUUAGUCGGUCUCGAAGCAAACGAAGUGAAGCAUGUUAUUUAA
Molecule: ribosomal RNA, 585 nt
Filed under: Entoloma sericellum
Lineage: Eukaryota; Fungi; Basidiomycota; Agaricomycetes; Agaricales; Entolomataceae
Description: partial small subunit ribosomal RNA
Rfam family: Bacterial small subunit ribosomal RNA
Source: RNAcentral